This 440-nucleotide ribosomal RNA is filed under the name uncultured bacterium. Its description in RNAcentral is "partial 16S ribosomal RNA". It matches the Rfam family "Bacterial small subunit ribosomal RNA", at positions 338 to 795 of the family's 1533-position model. The record is from RNAcentral.
CCUACGGGUGGCAGCAGUGGGGGAUAUUGCACAAUGGGGGAAACCCUGAUGCAGCGACGCCGCGUGAGUGAAGAAGGAUUUCGGUAUUUAAAGCUCUAUCAGCAGGGAAGAAAAUGACAGUACCUGACCAAGAAGCCCCGGCUAACUACGUGCCAGCAGCCGCGGUCAUACGUAGGGGGCAAGCGGUAUCCGGAUUUACUGGGUGUAAAGGGGGCGUAGACGGUUAUGUAAGUCUGGAGUGAAAGCCCGGGGCCCAACCCCGGGACUGCUUUGGAAACUGUGUAACUGGAGUGCAGGAGGGGCAGGCGGAAUUCCUGGUGUAGCGGUGAAAUGCGUAGAUAUCAGGAGGAACACCGGCGGCGAAGGCGGCCUGCUGGACUGAAACUGACGUUGAGGCUCGAAAGCGUGGGGAGCAAACAGGAUUAGAUACCCCUGUAGUC